This 534-nucleotide ribosomal RNA is filed under the name Vulcanocalliax arutyunovi. RNAcentral describes it as "partial 16S ribosomal RNA". It matches the Rfam family "Bacterial large subunit ribosomal RNA", at positions 1819 to 2625 of the family's 2925-position model. Lineage: Eukaryota; Metazoa; Arthropoda; Malacostraca; Decapoda; Callianassidae. The record is from RNAcentral.
GUCUAUUUGAACUUAUAAUAAAUAGUCUAGCCUGCCCACUGAAUAUUUAAAGGCCGCGGUAUCCUGACCGUGCGAAGGUAGCAUAAUAAUUAGUCUUUUAAUUGAAGACCGGAAUGAACGGCUUGACAAAAGUAACCUGUCUCAAGUAUUAAAUAUUGAAGUUAACUUCUAAGUGAAAAGGCUUAAAUAACCUAGGGGGACGAUAAGACCCUAUAAAACUUUAUAUUCCUAAAAUAAAUUAUAAGUUAUUUAUUUAAAAUUAUUUAUUGAAAAUAUAUUUCAUUGGGGUGAUGAGAGUAUUAAAAUAACUGCUUUUUAGUUCCACAAUUAUUUUUGCCUUAAUGAUCCUUAUAUUAAGAAUUUAAGAAAAAGUUACUUUAGGGAUAACAGCGUUAUUUUUUUUAAGAGUUCUUAUCGACAAAAAAGAUUGCGACCUCGAUGUUGAAUUAAAUUGUCCUAGUAAUGUAGAAAUUAUGUAGGAAGGUCUGUUCGACCUUUAAAAAUUUACAUGAUUUGAGUUCAAACCGGCGUGAG